RNAcentral lists this transfer RNA (234 nucleotides) under Pneumocystis jirovecii. RNAcentral describes it as "tRNA-Pseudo(TAT)". The record is from RNAcentral. Lineage: Eukaryota; Fungi; Ascomycota; Pneumocystomycetes; Pneumocystales; Pneumocystaceae.
AAUUAGAUAAUAAAUCAAUAUUUUUAAAUAUUUAUAGGAUUUAUAGGAAAAUAUUAAAUAUUUUUGACGUAGAAUUUUAUUUAAAAUAAUAAUUUAUGAAUCGAUUUAUAUUUUUUUCAUAUCAUAUAUAUAUUUUAAAUUAUUUUAAAUUCUCAAUUAUCAUUGAAUGUUCAUUUAGUUUCAUAUAUUAAUUUUUAAUUAAUUUUUAAUUAAUUUUUAAUUAAUUUUUAAUUA